RNAcentral lists this transfer RNA (67 nucleotides) under Ptilopachus petrosus. RNAcentral's name for it is "tRNA-Cys". Lineage: Eukaryota; Metazoa; Chordata; Aves; Galliformes; Phasianidae. The record is from RNAcentral.
GACUCUGUAGUGAAAUUCAUGGUGAGUUGCAAGCUCAUUGAUGCGCAUUAGAGGUGUGCCAGGGUCU